UGCAAGUUUUCUGUUUGAUAGAGAAGAGUGGCGUGGCGUGAACCUGCAGGCUGUUGCCAAGGGUUUGGACGACAUUCUGAAGCAGGCUGAGUCCAAUUCUAAUGAUGAUGACCUGACCUGUGGGUAUUGACACUUUUUUGAGUUCUGAGGGGCUCUUAAUGUAGAGCUUGGACAGAG
Molecule: long non-coding RNA, 177 nt
Organism: Pygocentrus nattereri (red-bellied piranha)
Lineage: Eukaryota; Metazoa; Chordata; Actinopteri; Characiformes; Serrasalmidae
Source: Ensembl